UAGAAACCCUAGGUUAGCCGCCACCUCUCUCUCUCUCUCUCUCUCUCUCUCCCACUACCAUAACCCUUCAUCUCCUUCUUUCUUUCUCUAUUAUCCUUCAAUCGAUACCAGAUUUUCAAAAAUAUGAUGGAGAUCUUUACUCUAAUGGGAUUUGAAUCAAGGCUAUUGAGACUCUGAAGCAUGAUUUUUUAAAUGUAUAUUUGAACUCUAUUGAGGUUGAUAAUAGUAUUAUUAGAGGCCAGGCCUUGUAGAGCAACUACAUUCGUGAAGUAAUGGAUGAAUAAUGCUUUGUAUUCAAGGGCUUAUGGUCAAUUUUAUUCCCAUAUGAAUCCGAAAAGAUUAUUGCAACAAUGAUAAGAAAAUCAAAUGAGGUUGUUCAUACUCUUUGUUGCAAACACAACCACCAAAAGCCGUCGGGGAAAUCGGAACAACAACCCUAUAGGAGGCUUCGUUGGUCAUUUAUAUCAUUGAUAUUAUCAUUGGUCGCAUAUUGCAUCGCAUGACCCAUCAUGUUUACUAGGGUCAUGUUCAUGUUGUAAGCUUUUGAGCUACCUUCUCAUUCAAAAAGUGUACUAUAUGAAUUUGACUCUCACAUCACAUGAAUAUUAUUUCUCCCAAACAUGCCAACAGUAGUUCCAGCAGUUCUGGUAGUGAUUCAUCUUCAUCUAGUCGUAUAAUACUUUCCUGUUACUAAUUCA
This is a long non-coding RNA of Lathyrus oleraceus (garden pea), 698 nucleotides long. RefSeq lists it as uncharacterized. The record is from RefSeq and is a predicted model, not a curated record. The transcript has 3 exons. NCBI's taxonomy places the organism in Eukaryota, Viridiplantae, Streptophyta, Magnoliopsida, Fabales, Fabaceae.